GUCAAAUAAUUACCUGAAUCAGAGCCAGGACCCAAUCAUUUGAUUCUAAAUCUACUACUGUUUCCACUACACUGGGCCAGUCCUGCUGUAGUGAAAUCUAUUUCUUCUUCAACGAGAACAAAGGUCAGUCUCUUCCACAGAGACCAAGCUCUUGAUCACAUGCACUUGCGGGUUGGGAAGGUGUGAAACUGUAGAGCUCAGAUCAGGUCCAAAUCACUCCUUCUUCAUGCUUUCUUGUGCUUUGGAUGUAAGGGAGAGUUGGUCUGUCUUAUCCUUUACUUUCAGAGAGGACAGAGAGACAGCAUUUAUUCUUGAUGACACGAAAUGAGAGAUGAUGAAACAAAAUAGAAUGAGAUGCAGGGAAAACAUUGAAAACAGGGUAGAUGGAAGGCAUAUACAAGGAGUUAAAUAGAAUCUUUUUGAUAUACAGGCAGAUUUGGUUUGUGGAGGCAAUUAAGAAGUGAAAAUUAAUAUUUUCUUCUUUAAAGAUGACAAUUUUUAUUUAUAAAGCACUCCUUGCUGGAAUAAGCUCAAAGCAUUUAAUGGGCACUGGCUAAUUACCCCACCCAACAAUCUGGCAGCCAGGAAAAGAGAGAGAUAAUUAUCCCCAUUUUGCAGGCAAGGAGACCAAGCCACAGAAGAGUGGUGCCUUGCAUAAAACCAGAGAGCUGAAAAUAGAAGGCAAGCCUCCUAAUAGCACCCUUCCACUCCACUGUAUGUUUAUAGACGUAGACUCCUGAGAAAGGACAACACACUUGCUGGCCAGAAAAAAGCAGCCGUCACUCAUUGGGAACUACAGCUCCCAGCAGACACCAAGAAGACAGGGCUGUGCCCCUACUGCCCAUGCCAGAUUCCCAAAUAUGGAGAAGGACUGGAUUUUGGAAGAGGAACAGAAUGCUCACCCUUGAAAGAGAGGGAGAGACAGAGGGAGUAUGAGGGCCAGACAGGACUGGAAUAUCGGAAUGCUCUCUGAGUGACCCCGUAAGUCAGUACUCCAUCUGGCUUUUAUCUCAGUGGAUUUGACUAAGUCCGUGGAAGAACAGUAGCUGCUUCCAGGCAUGAAGGCUCAUUGUGUCCAGGUAGAAAAGAGUAUUGACUUGCUCAUUUAUUGAUUUAAACCUAGGAGUCACUCCCAAUUCUUUAGCCCCAAGAGGCCUCCUAAAAUAGAGAACAUUCACUGCUAUGGGGACUUACACUACUUCAGAUAGUGUGUUUGGUACCAGUGACUCGACUGGUUAGAAUGAAGCAGAGGGGCUGACAGCUGGAUGUAUGGGAAACUGCAUA
Molecule: long non-coding RNA, 1284 nt
Filed under: Canis lupus familiaris (dog)
Lineage: Eukaryota; Metazoa; Chordata; Mammalia; Carnivora; Canidae
Description: lncRNA (ENSCAFG00030026247.1)
Source: RNAcentral